AAACUAAAGAUGGCGACCGGCGCACGGGUGAGUAACACGUAUCCAACCUGCCUCAUACUCGGGGAUAGCCUUUCGAAAGAAAGAUUAAUAUCCGAUAGCAUAUAUUUCCCGCAUGGGUUUUAUAUUAAAGAAAUUCGGUAUGAGAUGGGGAUGCGUUCCAUUAGUUUGUUGGGGGGGUAACGGCCCACCAAGACUACGAUGGAUAGGGGUUCUGAGAGGAAGGUCCCCCACAUUGGAACUGAGACACGGUCCAA
RNAcentral lists this ribosomal RNA (254 nucleotides) under uncultured bacterium. RNAcentral describes it as "partial 16S ribosomal RNA". It matches the Rfam family "Bacterial small subunit ribosomal RNA", at positions 79 to 334 of the family's 1533-position model. The record is from RNAcentral.